UGCAAGCCGAGCGGUAGGGUUUCUUCGGAAACCUGAGAGCGGCGCACGGGUGCGGAACACGUGUGCAACCUACCUUUAUCAGGGGGAUAGCCUUUCGAAAGGAAGAUUAAUACCCCAUAAUAUAUUAGAUGGCAUCAUUUGAUAUUGAAAACUCCGGUGGAUAGAGAUGGGCACGCGCAAGAUUAGAUAGUUGGUGAGGUAACGGCUCACCAAGUCAGUGAUCUUUAGGGGGCCUGAGAGGGUGAUCCCCCACACUGGUACUGAGACACGGACCAGACUCCUACGGGAGGCAGCAGUGAGGAAUAUUGGACAAUGGGUGAGAGCCUGAUCCAGCCAUCCCGCGUGAAGGAUGACGGCCCUAUGGGUUGUAAACUUCUUUU
This 380-nucleotide ribosomal RNA is filed under the name uncultured bacterium. Its description in RNAcentral is "bacterial SSU rRNA". It matches the Rfam family "Bacterial small subunit ribosomal RNA", at positions 56 to 437 of the family's 1533-position model. The record is from RNAcentral.